RNAcentral lists this ribosomal RNA (382 nucleotides) under uncultured bacterium. RNAcentral's name for it is "bacterial SSU rRNA". It matches the Rfam family "Bacterial small subunit ribosomal RNA", at positions 29 to 412 of the family's 1533-position model. The record is from RNAcentral.
AACGAACGCUGGCGGCGCGUUUUAAGCAUGCAAGUCGAACGGCAAGGCAUCUUCGGAUGCCCUAGAGUGGCGAACGGGUGAGUAACACGUAGGUGAUGUGCCCUGAAGUUGGGGAUAGCUCAUGGAAACAUGGGGUAAUACCGAAUAAUCUGGCAGUUUUUUGAAUUGUCAGGAAAGAGGCGUUUGCCUCGCUUUUGGAUCAGCCUGCGGCUUAUUAGCUAGUUGGUGGGGUAAUGGCUCACCAAGGCGACGAUAAGUAGCCGGCCUGAGAGGGUGAUCGGCCACAUUGGGACUGAGACACGGGCCCAGACUCCUACGGGGAGGCAGCAGCUAAGAUCUCGCAGGGCCCAAGCCUGACGAGCGACGCCGCGUGCAUGAUGAA